RNAcentral lists this ribosomal RNA (433 nucleotides) under uncultured bacterium. RNAcentral's name for it is "partial 16S ribosomal RNA". It matches the Rfam family "Bacterial small subunit ribosomal RNA", at positions 29 to 507 of the family's 1533-position model. The record is from RNAcentral.
AACGAACGCUGGCGGCAUGCCUAACACAUGCAAGUCGAACGAGACCUUCGGGUCUAGUGGCGCACGGGUGCGUAACGCGUGGGAAUCUGCCCUUGGGUUCGGAAUAACAGUUAGAAAUGACUGCUAAUACCGGAUGAUGUCUUCGGACCAAAGAUUUAUCGCCCAGGGAUGAGCCCGCGUAGGAUUAGCUUGUUGGUGGGGUAAAGGCCUACCAAGGUGACGAUCCUUAGCUGGUCUGAGAGGAUGAUCAGCCACACUGGGACUGAGACACGGCCCAGACUCCUACGGGAGGCAGCAGUGGGGAAUAUUGGACAAUGGGCGAAAGCCUGAUCCAGCAAUGCCGCGUGAGUGAUGAAGGCCUUAGGGUUGUAAAGCUCUUUUACCCGGGAUGAUAAUGACAGUACCGGGAGAAUAAGCCCCGGCUAACUCCGUG